This 253-nucleotide ribosomal RNA is filed under the name uncultured bacterium. RNAcentral describes it as "partial 16S ribosomal RNA". It matches the Rfam family "Bacterial small subunit ribosomal RNA", at positions 524 to 776 of the family's 1533-position model. The record is from RNAcentral.
UACGUAGGGGGCAAGCGUUGUCCGGAAUCAUUGGGCGUAAAGAGCGUGUAGGCGGUCCGGUUAGUCGGCUGUGAAAGUCCAGGGCUCAACCCUGGGAUGCCGGUCGAUACUGCCGGACUAGAGUCCGGAAGAGGCAAGUGGAAUUCCCGGUGUAGCGGUGAAAUGCGCAGAUAUCGGGAAGAACACCCGUGGCGAAGGCGGUUCUCUGGGACGGUACUGACGCUGAGACGCGAAAGCGUGGGGAGCAAACAGG